This 305-nucleotide ribosomal RNA is filed under the name uncultured bacterium. RNAcentral's name for it is "bacterial SSU rRNA". It matches the Rfam family "Bacterial small subunit ribosomal RNA", at positions 1086 to 1390 of the family's 1533-position model. The record is from RNAcentral.
CCCGCAACGAGCGCAACCCUUAUCCUUUGUUGCCAGCGGUCCGGCCGGGAACUCAAAGGAGACUGCCAGUGAUAAACUGGAGGAAGGUGGGGAUGACGUCAAGUCAUCAUGGCCCUUACGACCAGGGCUACACACGUGCUACAAUGGCGCAUACAAAGAGAAGCGACCUCGCGAGAGCAAGCGGACCUCAUAAAGUGCGUCGUAGUCCGGAUUGGAGUCUGCAACUCGACUCCAUGAAGUCGGAAUCGCUAGUAACCGCAGGUCAGCAAUACUGCGGUGAAUACGUUCCCGGGCCUUGUACACAC